GACGAACGCUGGCGGCGUGCCUAACACAUGCAAGUCGAACGGAGUUGUUCCUUCGGGGACAACUUAGUGGCGAACGGGUGAGUAACGCGUGAGAAACCUGCCUUUCAGUGGGGGACAACAGUUGGAAACGACUGCUAAUACCGCAUAAUGUUAUUUGGGGGCAUCCCUGAAUAACCAAAGCUUUAUGUGCUGAAAGAUGGUCUCGCGUCUGAUUAGCUAGUUGGUGAGGUAACGGCUCACCAAGGCGACGAUCAGUAGCCGGUCUGAGAGGAUGAACGGCCACAUUGGGACUGAGAUACGGCCCAGACUCCUACGGGAGGCAGCAGUGGGGAAUAUUGGGCAAUGGGCGAAAGCCUGACCCAGCAACGCCGCGUGAAGGAAGAAGGCCUUCGGGUUGUAAACUUCUUUUACCAGGGACGAAGAACGUGACGGUACCUGGAGAAAAAGCAACGGCUAACUACGUG
Molecule: ribosomal RNA, 464 nt
Filed under: uncultured bacterium
Lineage: Bacteria
Description: bacterial SSU rRNA
Rfam family: Bacterial small subunit ribosomal RNA
Source: RNAcentral